CCUCGAUUCCUGCUCAUAAAACACCAAAAACAAAGAAAAUGUGUGAAAACAAAAAAAAAAUCAAGUAAAAAUAAAAGUAAAGAAACGAUGUCACCCUUUUUCAGUUGAUCUCAUGGUUACUUUUUCCGUCUCCCCAACAACGGCACCAAAAUUUGAUUACGUCCAAAGAAUAACGCCAUAGUGGUAGUACAGUUUUGGGGUGUCGGUUCCACAGAAAGAUGGAAAAAUUACUCAAAGAAUCCAAAAAGGUUGAUUGUACUCUUGAAAUGAGUAUUUAUAUUUGUAUUGUUGCAACUUAUUGUGUUGAAGCAGAUCUGGGAAAAUCAAAUUAUUAAAAUUGCGGAGAAUAUUUGUAAUCCAAAGCAGGAGGUAAAUACGACACAUGUUUCUAGGCUUUGUUCUUUAAUUCUUGUGAAAGCUAAUGAUGCAAUGAUAGGUUGCAUCACAUAAUCCCUCCAAGGAAGAGUGAGAAAAUGACUGUUAUCCUGAAAAGUUACUACUUUCAUUAUGAACUAACUUUUGAGGUUUUUUUGGAACUCUUCUAUUCAGUGUGCUGAACAAGACUCUGAAAUACCAUGCGAUUUUAAAUGCAAAAUUUGUUCACAGGUAACCAAUAGCUGAAUGUUCGAUUGCUUCUGUUCAUGGUCUGGUCGGCUACCUAUAAUGUGUUGGAAUUUUGUAUCGUAAUAUCCCCCAACAUAAUGAUCUUUCUGUUACAAGUGCUCGACUUUUGAUUUGUUUUGUUUUUUUGUGCUUAUAUAUAUGGUUUCUUUCAGUUGGAGAACAAACUAAUCAGCAUUUCUACUAUAUUUUUAUUGGAUUCUUCUGAGUUCCUGACUUCUAGAUAUCUAUCUUUUGUCAUUUUCAUUAUUCCUUAUGCCAGUUUCGGACAGUUUUGGCACUGAAUAAAUGAAAUUCUGCAACUAAAUGUCAACUCUGGAAUUUUGCAGGUGUUGCUCCGUUCUGAUGUUACUGAUAUUGUAGGAUACCUUUAUGAAGGAAAGCAGGAUAUUGAUUCUUUCCAAGAGCUUAUCUGUAAGGUGAUUGCUUUGACUGACGUGUGUAUGUUAAUCAAAUCCCUUGAAUUGAAAUUGAAUCGGAAUCGACGAUUAUGUCUGAUUUUAAAAAAAAAAAAAAAAAAUUAAGAAUCAGACCAGAAUUGUAGAUAAAUCGAUUUUUAUAUAAUUUUUUAUUUUUUAUAAUUUAUAGAAUAGCUAAUAAAUAUACAAAAAAAAAAAAACCCUCUAAUUUGAAUAUUAAUUUGUCUAAAACUCUAUAUUUUAACCAUAAGAAAUCAAGAUUGAUUCAUACUUUUUGGCCUUUCGCUUUACAUCGACUUGUUGCAUUUCAGAUGUUAGUAGAUGUUAAUCUUUACAAUUUGAGCUUUCUAUGAAUCACAGAAUUCAAACUACAUUGUGGUGUUAAUUGAUGAAAAUCAAAGUGUUCAUUCUUUGCAAUUAGAAAUUUCUUCAUUUUUUGGCAUUGUUUAUAAUCUUAAGUGAAUUUUUUAUUUUUUAUUUUUUUAUAACGCAUAGCAAUUGAACUUGAUAUAUUCAUAGCUUGUGUUAUAGUGCACCUUUUUUAUUAUUUCGAUUUUGUGUGCAAUUUGAAAUAUAAUUAUUAUUUUUUUAUUUCUUAUUCAAAUGGAGAGAGUUCAAUAUGUGGACUGCAAUUUUUUGAACUAUAUGAUCUAAUUAAUAUUUUUUAAGUAGAAGAAUUUAGGCAUUGUCCAUAAUUAAAAUAUACAUUCUAGCAUGCCUCUCUUAUGGAUCGAAUAAGAUUUAUCGAGAAAAAAUCAAUUCUUCUUAAAUUGUAAUUUAAUUUUUGAUGUUUUCGUUAUUUUCCUCUUUUAGUGAUUUUUAGUCUUCGCUAUUUUGAACCAUUUAGUUGAAUUUAUUAGCUUCUUGACAAUUUCUUAGCUGGAUUCUCUCAUUUACAUGAAAAAUUUCUAGGUCCAUGUAACAUAGAUUAGAUGGCUAACGUUAACCACCCCUCACAAUGGCAAAUAAAUCAAGUGUUAUUCAUUAUACAAAUAUCAAUACGGUCUUAUGGUAUUCUCCAUCCAGCUGAUUCCUGAGUGGACGACAAAGUUGCCUUUAAUUCCAUUCAAAUUUGAAUUUAUUGUUUUAUUUAGCAAUUUGUUUAUAGAAUUUUUUUCCGGGAAGCUUUAACCUUGCAUAAAUUUUUAUCUAAGGAGGAUGAUUCUAAACAAAGUGUCAAGACAGGAGCAGCAGUGGAUGCAGCCCAGAAAUCCAAAAAAAAAAAACAAUGGUGGAAUUUUUCCAUCGUUAAUAUUCUCUCGUUUUUGAAGAACACGAGAUCGACGUCCAAUAAACACAAGCACUAAGGCCAAGAUUCGCGAUAGCAACAGCAGUUCCUACUCUUCUUCAGUUUCGCUCAGUUUCCAUGUGUGUACUUCUUUGCAUCACUUUGGUAUUUCUUGUUUAAAAUGAAAUAAAAUCUUGGGCUCUUCUUGUUGUUUAAAUUAACGUGAUUUGUGCAAUAUACUAUCAAUUAUAAGCAUAAAUCAAAUAAAGUAAAUAUAAGAAUAGAGUUAGAAAAGAUGGCUUAAGAGAGUCACGGUAAUCGCUGUUCUAAAGUCCUGUGGCCUCUCUUUCGUGCGGGUACUUUCGGCACUGUACGGCUCCAAGAUAAAAACUCUUAUAGCUCGCAGUCUAUUUUCCUUCUAUGGGCACGACCACAAGGAGAGAAAGAAUAAGCUCUUACCAAUUGCCAAAAGUUUAUAGAAAAGGAUAAAAUAACAAGAGAGUAGUACGAGAAGAAUAAUAUGAAAAGAGAGUAGAAAGUAUUUUUGUGUUUGAUUUUGUUGUAUCAAAGAAUGUGAAAUCCACCCUUUUUAUAGUAGAAGAAAUCAACCAUUUCAUUAUGAAAAUUAAUAAAGUUCAACAUAUGUUAC
Molecule: long non-coding RNA, 2917 nt
Filed under: Olea europaea subsp. europaea
Lineage: Eukaryota; Viridiplantae; Streptophyta; Magnoliopsida; Lamiales; Oleaceae
Source: RNAcentral